AAAAACAUGUCUUUUUGUUUAUGAUUUAAGGUUUGACCUGCCCAAUGAUUUAUUAAAUGGCUGCAGUAUUUUGACUGUACAAAGGUAGCAUAAUCAUUAGUUUCUUAAUUAGGAGCUGGAAUGAAUGGUUUGAUGAGAAAUUUACUGUCUCAAUUUAAUUGUUUUAGAAUUUUAUUUUUAAGUUAAAAAGCUUAGAUUUUUUAAAAAGACGAGAAGACCCUAUAGAGUUUUACGUAAUGACUAUUUUUUAUAAAUGAUUUUAUUAUUUUUUAUUUUUUAUUACGUUUUGUUGGGGUGAUGUGAAAAUUUUUUUAACUUUUCUUUAUUUUUUACACUGGUUAGUGGUUUGAUGAUCCUUUUUUAGAUUAUAAGAUUAAAUUACCUUAGGGAUAACAGCGUAAUUUUUUUUGAAAGCUCUUAUUGAUAAAAAAGUUUGCGACCUCGAUGUUGGAUUAAAGUUUAUUUUUGGUGUAGAAGCUAGAAAAUUAGGUCUGUUCGACU
Molecule: ribosomal RNA, 501 nt
Filed under: Gnaptorina nigra
Lineage: Eukaryota; Metazoa; Arthropoda; Insecta; Coleoptera; Tenebrionidae
Description: partial 16S ribosomal RNA
Rfam family: Bacterial large subunit ribosomal RNA
Source: RNAcentral